GAGCGCGGAGCGCCGCCGCCGCCUCCGCCGGAGCGCGGGUGGAGGGGGGCGGGGAGAGCUGCCGGCCGCCCCGCUCCGCCGAACCCAGCAGGAAGGAGGGCGCGAGCGGGCGAGCGCGGGAGGAAAAAGCGCCCGCGCGGGGGAGCGAAAAGAAGGAAAGAAAGAAAGAAAACGAGCGCGAGAGGGGGAAAAGCGAGCGAUCGAGCGAGCGCGCGCGCGAAAACUCCCGGCAGGAAGGUGGACUUUUAAAUAUUCUCCACUGAAGCAAAUGCUGCAACAAUCUGCAUUUCCUUCACCAACGUCUUCUUGUGCCUUUUCUUGUUUCUACUGUAAAGGAGAUGGGUUAGAUGUU
RNAcentral lists this small RNA (352 nucleotides) under Pongo abelii (Sumatran orangutan). RNAcentral's name for it is "processed transcript". Lineage: Eukaryota; Metazoa; Chordata; Mammalia; Primates; Hominidae. The record is from RNAcentral.